GAUGAACGCUGGCGGCGUGCCUAAUACAUGCAAGUCGAGCGAACAGACGAGGCGCUUGCUCCUUUGACGUUAGCGGCGGACGGGUGAGUAACACGUGGAUAACCUACCUAUAAGACUGGGAUAAUUUCGGGAAACCGGAGCUAAUACCGGAUAAUAUAUUGAACCGCAUGGUUCAAUAGUUAAAGACGGCUUUGCUGUCUCUUAUAGCUGGAUCCGCGCCGCAUUAGCUAGUUGGUAAGGUAACGGCUUACCAAGGCAACGAUGCGUAGCCGACCUGUGAGGGUGAUCGGCCACACUGGAACGGAGACACGGUCCAGACUCCUACGGGAGGCAGCAGUAGGGAAUCUUCCGCAAUGGGCGAAAGCCUGACGGAGCAACGCCGCGUGAGUGAUGAAGGUCUUCGGAUCGUAAAACUCUGUUAUGAGGGAAGAACAAAUGUGUAAGUAACUAUGCACGUCUUGACGGUACCUAAUCAGAAAGCCACGGCUAACUACGUG
RNAcentral lists this ribosomal RNA (497 nucleotides) under uncultured bacterium. Its description in RNAcentral is "partial 16S ribosomal RNA". It matches the Rfam family "Bacterial small subunit ribosomal RNA", at positions 28 to 507 of the family's 1533-position model. The record is from RNAcentral.